AAAAGACAUGGCAUUAUUCAGAGCUGGUUAAUUACAUGGUUAAAAGUUGAUGGCUGGUAUGUCUAUUUCAUUUCGACCAAAAUUAAAUGUCAGUUUGGGCAGCAAAAUAAUUUUAUGCCAAAACGCCAUUUGAAGCUGGGUUUAUGACAUGUUUCUCCAUCUGUCAUCUAUGGGUACUCCCAAAAUGUAUGCUUAAGUCCCCAGCCUCUUGACUCUGCUCAGCAAUAUUUCUGUUUGGCUUACUGUCCAACUUUGGCCUGCUCUUCCAGAUCUACCUCUUUUCCCAAGGAACAAGCUGCUUCUAUGCCAAGGGCAUGACUUCCUCCUUGCAGAUUUUCCUCACAUCUCUGACUUGGAGAAAAGGGGGUUUUUCAUUCUGCUAGCUUUUUAGUGCUCCUUUGAGAUCAUUAUUCUGGAGCCCUCUGCAAUAAUAUUGUUUCUCAUGGAUUGAAAUCCAUUGUUUCCAACAAGUUGAAAUGACCCUGAAGCUU
Molecule: long non-coding RNA, 491 nt
Organism: Sapajus apella (tufted capuchin)
Lineage: Eukaryota; Metazoa; Chordata; Mammalia; Primates; Cebidae
Exons: 4
Source: RefSeq, a predicted model, not a curated record